This 328-nucleotide ribosomal RNA is filed under the name uncultured Chloroflexota bacterium. RNAcentral's name for it is "bacterial SSU rRNA". It matches the Rfam family "Bacterial small subunit ribosomal RNA", at positions 28 to 351 of the family's 1533-position model. The record is from RNAcentral. Lineage: Bacteria; Bacillati; Chloroflexota.
GAUGAACGCUGGCGGCGUGCCUAAUACAUGCAAGUCGAACGGAGAACAUCGUAGCAAUACUUUGUUCUUAGUGGCGAACGGGUGAGUAACGCGUUGGUGACCUGCCCCGAAGCGGGGGAUAACAGUCCGAAAGGAUUGCUAAUACCGCAUGUGGUUGUGGAGAUUAGAAGCUCUGCAACUGAAGGAGAAAUUCACUUCGAGAGGGGCCUGCGUCCCAUCAGCUAGUUGGUGAGGUAAAAGCCCACCAAGGCGAUGACGGGUAGGGGACCUGAGAGGGUGGCCCCCCACAAUGGAACUGAAACACGGUCCAUACACCUACGGGUGGCUG